GGCGAUCAGAUACCGCCCUAGUUCUGACCGUAAACGAUGCCAACUAGCGAUCCGCCGGCGGAUUCAUUCGCCCCGGUGGGGAGCUUCCCGGAAACGAAAGUCUUCCGGUUCCGGGGGAAGUAUGGUUGCAAAGCUGAAACUUAAAGGAAUUGACGGAAGGGCACCACCAGGAGUGGAGCCUGCGGCUUAAUUUGACUCAACACGGGGAAACUCACCCGGCCCGGACACCGUAAGGAUUGACAGAUUGAUAGCUUUUUCAUGAUUCGGUGGAUGGUGGUGCAUGGCCGUUCUUAGUUCGUGGAGCGAUUUGUCUGGUUUAUUCCGAUAACGAGCGAGACUCUGGCCUACUAAAUAGUUGGCACAUUGCCACUGUGUGCCCAACUUCUUAGAGGGAUUUUCGGUGUUCAGCCGCACGAAAUUGAGCAAUAACAGGUCUGUGAUGCCCUUAGAUGUCCGGGGCUGCACGCGCGCUACACUGGCAAAAUCAGCGUGCUUGUCCUCCCCCGAAAGGGGUUGGUAAACCGAUGAAAAUUUGCCGUGAUUGGGAUCGGACAUUGCAAUUAUUGUCCGUGAACGAGGAAUCCCUUGUAAGGGCGAGUCAUCAACUCGUCCUGAAUACGUCCCUGCCCUUUGUA
RNAcentral lists this ribosomal RNA (635 nucleotides) under Rotylenchulus reniformis. Its description in RNAcentral is "SSU rRNA". It matches the Rfam family "Eukaryotic small subunit ribosomal RNA", at positions 1003 to 1664 of the family's 1831-position model. The record is from RNAcentral. Lineage: Eukaryota; Metazoa; Nematoda; Chromadorea; Rhabditida; Hoplolaimidae.